RNAcentral lists this long non-coding RNA (1324 nucleotides) under Brassica napus (rape). RNAcentral describes it as "long non-coding RNA (BNAP_LNC007379)". The record is from RNAcentral. Lineage: Eukaryota; Viridiplantae; Streptophyta; Magnoliopsida; Brassicales; Brassicaceae.
AACUCUAUGUUCUUCUGUUUAAAUCUGUAGAAAAGUUUUAUCCUUUAUUCCUCAACUCCGACAUUCACUCGCCACCUAUCCUUGAUUCUCACCACUUCACAACUUGUCUGACCACUGCUCGUCGCACAACCACACAAUCCCCGUCCACACAUCGCCCGACCACACAUCGUUCAUCCACAUAACCUUUGACCAUAAAGCUGCCGAACAGCUGACGCCUAACCAUGACUUACCCGACCACAACUCACCCAACCACAACAACCUUAGCAACCCGUCUCAUGUCGCCACACAUGAUACACCUAAUAGACACCUUUUGUUUUGUUCUCAAUGUGCCUUUCAGCUUAUGUCUAUUCAUGUACUUUAAUUCCACGAACUGAGUAUGUGAGGAAGAAGAAUCACUUGGAAGCCACUCCCAUAUCAUUAACUAAUAUGCUGUACAACACUACCUCCAUCCAGACUAAAGCCUACAAGAUCAUACUAGCAUUGUCACCAGACUAAAGCCAACAUCGGCAUCCAUUCACAAACUGGCCACCAGAGCCUUGACGACAACACUCCCGACCACAACAACACUCCCCCUAACCACAAGAGUCCCAUCCACAACACAUCUGACCACCACAACAAUCACACAAACCACAAGAGUCCCAUCCACAAUACACCUGAGAACCCCAAUCCGACCAUCUUCUUUUUGUCCACCACGAACUCCACCCAUUACCAAACACAUCUCCAAAUAUUUAAACUAUAUUCUCAGCCUUAGAUCCCACACAUCGUUCAUCCACAUAACCUUUGACCAUAAAGCUGCCGAACAGCUGACGCCUAACCAUGACUUACCCGACCACAACUCACCCAACCACAACAACCUUAGCAACCCGUCUCAUGUCGCCACACAUGAUACACCUAAUAGACACCUUUUGUUUUGUUCUCAAUGUGCCUUUCAGCUUAUGUCUAUUCAUGUACUUUAAUUCCACGAACUGAGUAUGUGAGGAAGAAGAAUCACUUGGAAGCCACUCCCAUAUCAUUAGCUAAUAUGCCGUACAACACUACCUCCACCCAGACUAAAGCCUACAAGAUCACACUAGCAUUGUCACCAGACUAAAGCCAACAUCGGCAUCCAUUCACACACUGACCACCAGAGCCUUGACGACAACACUCCCGACCACAACAACACUCCCCCUAACCACAAGAGUCCCAUCCACAACAUAUCUGACCACCACAACAAUCACACAAACCACGAGAGUCCCAUCCACAAUACACCUGAGAACCCCAAUCCGACCAUCUUCUUUUUGUCCACCACGAACUCCACCCAUUACCAAACACAUCUCCAAAUAUU